GAAGAAGAAAAUGGAACAGGAAAAAAAGCUGAAGAUGAGAAAAGGCACCUGGUCCUGCACACUUAAAAAUGCUGAGUUAUUUCAUAACUCAACUUCUGGGUAAAAGCCGUGGGGUCGUAAGUUGGGUUAGUUUGACCAAAUAUGGGGUUCAAAACUCGUGACUUUAUCAAGUAAAUAAAAACUGCAUAUCUGUGAACUAAUCAUAAGUUAUCUACAGUAUUUUUACAGUUUGUUGGGGGAAAAAAUGUAAGAAGCAAAAUUUUUCCGUUAAAAAAAUUGACUUUUUUGAUGUUAAUUCAUGUAUUUCAAAAUAUCGGGGAAAUUCUGUGAAAAAUACAUGAAGCAUUCUGUUAGAUUACAUACAUUUGGGGGGCGGUUUUUUCUACAGUGCAGGACCAACAACAGUAUUUACCAAAAGUCAGACUCCAUAUUUUCACCUCUUUGGGCUCACUCAGGUCAUUUGAACUGUGUACUGCUACUUAAAGAUGCGGAUUCUGUUUGUUCACAUGACAUAGAGUAGAGGAGGGCACAUGAGCUAAGAAGAUGAGCUGGAUCAUUCAUAUUUCCAUUGAGGUUAGUGCUAUCACGCACAGGGGAUGAUCACAGCACUGCAAUCAGGAAAUUAAAAGGCAACGCAGACAGAACACCACAAACUGCUUCAAAGACCUUUCAACAUGGAAGGAAGAGGUCCUAGACGCAGCCCUCAAAUUCUGCUCUCUGAUGAUGAUAGUGGUCUGUGGAUGAAGAUGGAUUCAAACCAUGUGAGCAACCACACAGAGAGUCCUUCAGCGACCUCUGGUGAAAGGCCACAAGACGAAAUCACAAUGACCUCUGCUGCUCCCACUGCUAUAAUGAGGUACUGCAGUGUGAUGGAUGAUGAAGGUGCAGAUGAUGUCUUCAUCCCUCAACCACCUCCUCCUCCACCUCGCACGGCUACAUCGCUGCCAGCAGAGAAAAGCACAGGUGCAACAGCAAGUAAGUCUGGUGUGACCCUUUCAGUUGACGCAACAGAGGCUGAAGCUAAUCCAAGAGGCUUAGACUUGCCUCAUAGUGAGGAGCAGUUAAUGGUAGCACGAAACGAGCUGGAUGAAGAGGUGACUGCAAGUACAGUGCCGUUGUCUAUGGCCAACAUAUCCAAUGAACAAGACUCCUCUCCACCAACUUAUCAAGAACAGCAAUCCAUGGACGUGACUGGUUGUCUGAUGGAAACUAGUUAUGAUACAGAUGGAAGACCUUACGGGAAUAACGCAACAGAGGAUGACAAACCUGAGGACAUUGUAAUUGUAAGUGAAGAACAGGGAAACUGCUGGGAAGCCAAUACAGAGGAAGACAAUUACCCAAAACAAACACAUUCUGAGAAUCAGAUCCAUUUAGACAAAGAAGGAGACAAAAUAAAACACAAGGACAUUGGUGAUUUUGAUGAAACAGACUCAAAACUAUUAAGAGAAAGUAUAGCUGUUGAGAGUGUGGAGGCAAAUUCUGAUGAUGAUUUCGAGCUCUGCAAAUGCAACCAAAACAGGACCAAUACAGCAACCAGUCAGACACAGGCUGCUGACUUCCAAGCAGAUACGGACAAAGACAAUGAAGAGCAUGAUGACCGUACAUCUUUGGACUAUAACCUCAUAAAGUAUGACUGUGUGAGGAAAGAAAGCGGCAGCACAGAAAUGCAAGUGCUAUCCAGCUCCAAAGGUUCUGAAGAAAGAGAGACAAUGGGGGAGCAAGAGGAUGGAAGUAGGAAAAUAUCUACUGAUAUCCAACAAGGUGAGCAACUGCUUCAUCGUCUGCAGCUGGUACAGCUACGACAUGAUGUGAAAAUGUCAGAGAACCCUCAUACCCAACAGCAGGCUGUCACGAUGGAUGAAAAAAAGGGCAUGUUUGGGACUGAAACAGAGAAUAUACCUGGUGAAGAAGAGAGGGAAGAAGGCAGAUUUGAAACUCUCAAGGACGUGGAAGAAAAGGUGAGCCUGAUGGAAAAGGAAAAUAAUGAGGACAAAGACAUUCAAACAAAAGCAAGGACAUCUUCAUCCACAAUUCCAGGAGAGUCAGAAGAAGACCAGAUUAUUGUCAGAAUAGAUCCGAGUGACUCUAAUGACAAUCAGAGUGAUAGCUGGGAUCCUGCAGAUUUGUCUCCCAGUAACCCUCACGAAACUUCUAAUGAAAUUCCAUUUCUGUCCACUGGACACCGAUUUUCAGCUGCUGAAACCUCCAUGGAGAGGCAGCUCCAUGAAGCAGCCCAGGGGAAGCAGAAGCUGCAGAGAGCUGGGGGUGUUUUCAAUCUUGCAGAAAAUCCAGAUGUGCUGGAGAUUCCCUUUAAGACAGAUGUCUCUCUUGAGUCACUUACUACCAAGGUAGGUACAAGCCAAUGCAACGAGUGGCAAUUCUCUGAACAGAAGAUGCUCAAAGAGAUAAGUCAGGAUAUUCAGAGAGAACUAGUGCUGGUCAAUCAAGGUAAAAUCCCAGGGGGGUACAGCAAAGGAGAGAUCCGCCAGUUAAAAGAGACAAAACUGCUGUUUGAAGCCUUCCAGCAGGACAAUCCGGAGGGUCCAACAAGACACCGUAAAUCCCCCACAACUCUGAGGAAAGGGCAGAUUUACCCUUCAGUGCUAGAGCGCACACGUAGCCUUGAGAUGUUUUCCCUCAAAACUUGUCCUGUUUCCAGAGCACAUUCCCUCAGGCUGUACCAAUCUGCAAACCUUGAGAAGGAAAAAAGUCCUGACAGCAUCAGAUCAAAGAGCCCAACUGGGGGUUCACGAGACAAAACUCGCUUAUCCCCUUACCCAAAACAAGACAAACACAUUCGCCUGUACAGAAGCAUGGACUCUAUAAGCAAUGACGUCUCUACGUUAGCUGUGGAGGGUAAAGCAAAGGCAGCAAACGCAAACAAAGAGUCUUCAAUCCUCAAGCAAAACCCAUUCUUCAAGUUGCGUCCAGCUCUGGCUCUACAACCAGAGGUAGAGAAGGACAUCCGAGAAGCCAAAGAAAGAGAAGAGGAGCUGCGCAAACAGAGACGCACACUGUAUGGAGAGAAGAGACAGAAUAGUGAAGAUGAACAAAAGUCACAAACACUCCCAGCAGACAUCAGAAAACAGUCACGGGGGAAACUGGAGCGGGUUUGGCCACCUCCUUCUAAAAAGGACCAGAUAAAACUGGAGCAGAUAGAGCAGGAGCCAAAAGUUCACCGAGCAGGAGGACAGAAAGCUUCUCUCUGGCAACGCUGGGAGUCCGGCCUGAUCAACGGGAAGCCGUCAAAAGAAAAGAAGUGAUGUUAUCUGUCCUGGUUCUUCAACACUACAAACAGAAUAUCAGCAGCGCUAGACUUAUAGUCAAAAUAACCCAAAUUGUUAUGCUAGUCCCAGCUUCAAGACUUCCUCGCUCUUUUAAUUCUGCUUUGUAUCUGUGACAAAUAUGCUUUUUUGUAUCUUUAUUAUUAUAAAAAAAUUAACAAUACCAGUCCAUAGAUUAUGUUAGGAAAAGCUCUUGGACCAGAACAGCCACUGUUCCAGCUGGUCCAGGAAAUAACUAGCUAGCAUUAGCAGCAACUUCCUGCUCUGUCAGAUUUAGAAAAGUUUACACUUUCAGUUGACAGUUUAACAAAAGAGGGGUCCAAUCUUAUGGAACAACAUGGUUUAUACUUUUUUUAAAAAUGAAUAUUGUACCAUAAACACAACUGUCAGUUAUGUAGACAACACUAUAAAACUAUUUAAGCUAGCCUACUUGUAAAAACUCACAUAAUGUUCUUUACUGAAUGUAGCAUGCCUAAAUCUUCAAGGGUUAACUUUGCAAGAACAAGCAAUAUGAAUAAGAUUAUGGGAUGUAUGGGAUAUAUUCUUGAGCACGGUCACUGUACAAUGUCUGCAGUGACUGUUUACUAAGCCACUCUUACUCUUGGAUUUACGUCUGAGGCCACACAGAGGAGAUUACACUGAUCACAGCUGCUUUGUUCUGCUUGAUGUAUUAUUUGUGGGUUUUGUUGCAUAUUUUCUAACAAACCUAAAGAUCAUCCCAAAACCAAAAAAUCCUAAAUGGAAAAUAAUGAUUAUUCAAAAUAAAUUUACACCGCUUGAUCCAUUGAACUGAAUUGUUUUGGUGCCCUCUAGAGGUUGUUUCAUCUCAGAAUUGAUUCCAAAUUCAAGCUGGUUGAAUAGAAU
Oreochromis aureus is the source of this 4148-nucleotide long non-coding RNA. Lineage: Eukaryota; Metazoa; Chordata; Actinopteri; Cichliformes; Cichlidae. The record is from Ensembl.